Molecule: long non-coding RNA, 428 nt
Filed under: Androctonus crassicauda
Lineage: Eukaryota; Metazoa; Arthropoda; Arachnida; Scorpiones; Buthidae
Source: RNAcentral
AUUACUUUUUUCAAUUAAAUCAAUGAUAUAUUCUGUUAAAUGUUUUCGUUUUUUUAAAGGAGGUCCUUCAGUAAUUGUAACAUUUACUGGUAACUUGUUUGAAUCUGCUUUGCCUAUAUUUUCUUUCAGAGAUUCAUUUUCAGUAGUAAUACCACUACUGGAAGAAAUUAGUAAUGGAAGACAAAUGAUGGUACGUUCACCCAAUACCUUAUCCAUUAUUUCAUAAUAAGGCCAAGUCACUAGUGUCAAUGUUCUAUUGUCCAUGCCUCUUCCUGUUGGUGUGUUUCUUAAUUCCUAAAUACAAUAAAUGUCAGUUAUAUAUUUAUUGAACCAUUUCAGAUUAAAAUAUAAAACAAAUAUUACCUUAUAUUUCUUUACCAUAUUAAUCCUUUUUUUUUUUUUUUUUUGCUUGGGCAACUGUAACUGUG